UCCUUGGUGGCUCAGCUGGUAAAGAAUCCGCCUGCAAUGCGGGAGACCUGGGUUCAAUCCCUGGGUUAGGAA
RNAcentral lists this transfer RNA (72 nucleotides) under Bos taurus (domestic cattle). It matches the Rfam family "tRNA". Rfam says of the family: Transfer RNA (tRNA) molecules are approximately 80 nucleotides in length. Their secondary structure includes four short double-helical elements and three loops (D, anti-codon, and T loops). The record is from Rfam by way of RNAcentral. RNAcentral also lists the same sequence under 4 other names. Lineage: Eukaryota; Metazoa; Chordata; Mammalia; Artiodactyla; Bovidae.